GCGACGAGACCCCUCGUCAUCGAUCAACUGUGGCCGGUCAAUGCGAUGGUCACAACUGUGCCUGUCCGAACGGUCAGCAGCGUAAAGGGAGAGAGAAUAAAAACAAAACCGGGGAUAGGUAUAACGAUCAAAAACCGUGACCAAGCAACUUCGAAUGAAAAUUGAUAGUAGGCGCAAAUUUAUUUGGUUGAAUUUGAGAGGUUUCUCGUGAAAUUUAGUUCUAUUUCAUGCUUAAUUCUUAAAAGGUAGUUGAAUUCAAUAAGUGAAGUCUAGCAUUGAAAUGUGUGAUACAUGCAGAUACGUAGUUUCUUAAUCUAAUAGUACGGACUAUAUACAAAUAUCUAAGCUGAAGCAUAUAUUGGAUUCUGAACGGUGCUGAUAAACUAUAAAUAUUGUAAGUAAUUGAACUUGUUAAUCAUUAUCAGUUAACCUUAACAAUUCGUACAUUCAGACAGUAAUCCCCAUAUCUAAGACCUAUCGAGGCGUGGUAUGAUCCUUGAUGUCGAAGGUCACCAAAAUUGUGAGUAGGCAAUGUAUAUUAAAAUUAAGAUGGAAACAAUAAUUAAAAUACAUUUACAGCUAAAAGCUUACCAUCACUAAAUCCAAGGUUUGCUGUUUAGACUUGACAGACCCCCACAACAUUCUUUUAGAAUUUUGUACGUGGGUAAUCGAUAUGACGGGACAUCACGACCAAUCGAUGUACCAGUGCAAGACAUGCCACGGAGCGGACCCGGUAAGUGCUCAUAUGUUCACCUGCGACCGGUGCCGUGAAUGGGAGCACUUUCGGUGCGCCGGGAUCAGCGAAGCCGCCCAAAGCCGUCCCUUCAUCUGUAAGCUCUGCAGGAAAGGUGAAACGAGCACACAACGAGUGCUUAGGUCACAGACGAAAGGUAACCCACUUACUAACCCAUCGGUAGCAGGUGCCCCCUCAAAUAAGGGCAGCAAGAUGUCGUCUGUCCGCAGUUUCAGCUCCCGGUCGUCAGUUGUAAAGGCGCAACUGGAACUGGCAGAAGAGGAAACCAGGAUGAAGCAGAAGGAGCUUGAAGAGGAAGAAGAACUCAAGACGCUUGAGCUGGAAGAAGAAAGGAAGCAGUUAGAGGCGAAGAAGAAGUUAGUUGAAGAAGAAGCCCGCUUGCGGCAGCGGACGCUGGAAGCGAAUCGGGAGCGUCUGGCGAAGCAACAAUCGAUCCGCCGAGAAUCGUUGGAGAAGAGGAACGAGAUUCUGUUGCAGAUAUCCGAACGCGGGAGUGUGUUGGAGUCUACGACCAGUUCCGUCGAAAAGGUUUCAAAAUGGUUGAACACCCACCCUCCUGGAGGGAUGACCGAAGGAAACAUCGCAGGGGCACAAAUUGACCCCCUUUCUUCGGCCCCAAAUGGACUACAGGGAGGUAUUUCGUGCACCGUUCCAAAGCCUUCGCGAACCGGAUCUACCUCAGCCCUACCACCCAAUUUCCCACGACAGGUAACGGAGAAUGGUCAGCCUUUGGACACGCUACGAUCCGGGCUGCACGCCUCCGGGGUCCCCAUAAUUAACCCGAGCCACACCCUUCCGAGGACCGUCUUUCCACGAGAAGUGCACUCGGUUACCGUUAGGGAACCAUUCCAACAGUACGUUGCAUCUUCCCGGCCGUUUCGUGACCCCCGCUUAGUUCCAACUGCUAGUCCGUUAAAUUCCCCAGCGGUGUAUUCAUGUCCGCCGAUGAUCCAACACGCAGCAAGGCCGAUUAUCGACGAAGGAAAUCAAGCUGUGCACAUUAACCAACGCUCGGCGCCUUCCAUGGAUACGCCUCUCCAUCAUAGUUCGAUGCGGAAUCCCAGAUCAGUCGUCCUCCACUCUAAUACACCCGUUGCGGAUCAGCGUUUCCAGGAUCGGGAUUCUUUUCCCGAACAUGGCUUAUCGGGUGAUAGGUUUAGCCGAAGAACGAUGCCCAAAGCUCAAGAAAUGCGUCUGGAGGCCGGUGUCCUUAGCACCCAACAGAUAGCUGCACGGCAGGUCGUCGGUAAAGAUUUGCCGUCGUUCAACGGAAACCCUACGGACUGGCCGAUGUUCAUAACCUCCUUCGAACAAUCUACCGUUGCAUGUGGGUAUUCAAACGCCGAAAAUCUGGUGCGCCUCCAACGAUGCCUCACGGGACAUGCUCGAGAAGCUGUACGAAGCCGGCUUCUACUCCCAGCUAACGUACCACACGUCGUUGAUACCCUACGAACGCUCUACGGUCGGCCAGAGUUGUUAAUUCGUUCGCUCCACGAGAAGAUAAAGGGUACUCCUGGUCCUAGGCACGAUCGACCGGAAACGAUACUCGAGUUCGGCUUGGUGGUUCAAAACUUUGUUGACCACCUGCAAGCCGCGCAACAGGAAGAGCAUCUGUCAAACCCGAUGCUCCUGCAGGAACUGGUAGAGAAACUGCCAGGUUCAAUGCGGAUGGACUGGGCGGCCUUCAAAAGCCAACACUUUCGAGCAACCGUGACAACAUUUGGCGAGUUUAUGACCAAACUGGUAAAAGCGGCCAGCGAGGUCAGCUUCGAGAUUCCGGGGCUAUGGAAGGGCCUGAACGACGGAAAGCAACAGCGAACGAAGGAAAGAGCCAGGAUUCAGACACACUCCGCCGAAGAAACCUCUUCCUCGAGACCUGUCGACACCAGUACGCGCAAAACUCCUAAACCGUGUGCUAUUUGCGAUCGUGAAGGGCAUAGAGUGGCAGAGUGCUCAAAAUUCAAGCAGUUGAGUAUUGACGAUCGUUGGAAGUCGGUGCAAAACAAAAACUUGUGCAGGACGUGCCUGAACAACCACGGCAAGUGGCCUUGCAAGUCAUGGCAGGGAUGCGGAAGUUCAGGAUGUAAGUUGAAGCAUCACACCCUUCUUCAUUCGCCAUCUACUCCACCGACUUCUUCGCAUUCCGUGAACGUAUCAUCCAGCCAGCUUUCUGCUGGCGAACACCGAACUCUUUUUCGGGUUUUACCAGUCAUCCUUUGCGGAAGAGAGAAAACCGUUACCGUCUUCGCAUUCAUCGAUGAAGGAUCUCAAAUUACCAUGUUGGAGGAGAAAGUCGCUAAAGAGCUCGGCGUAACUGGACCGAAGAAGCCGCUCACUCUCCAGUGGACGGGCAAUGUAAAACGCAGUGAACCAGGAUCGCAAGAAGUUAGCCUGAAAAUUGCUGGGAAAAAUAGCGGGAUAUGCUAUGAUCUACGACAGGCGCGCACGGUAAGCUGUUUACUGUUGCCCACUCAGAGCAUGAAUUACCGCGAACUGUGUGCUCAAUUUCCACACCUCAGAGGCCUCCCCAUAGAAGAUCAAGAUCUCGUUCAACCAAAAUUGUUGAUUGGGCUAGACAAUCUUCGGCUUGUAGUACCGCAGAAGCUGCGCGAAGGUGGAGCACAUGAUCCCAUUGCUGCAAAAUGCCGCUUGGGUUGGAGUAUCUACGGCAGUACAUCUACAAAUUCCGUGGCCAGAGUUAGAGUCAAUUUUCACACCGCUGCUGAGCAGAGUCCAGACGACCUCCUCAAUGCGCAGUUGCGAGACUACUUCGCGCUUGAGAACUGCGGCGUUGCUGCUCCAGCCGAGAAACUCGAGUCGGAAGAGGACAAGAGAGCGAGACGACUGCUCGAGGAAACCACACGGCGAACGGCGACCGGGUUCGAAACAGGUCUUUUGUGGAGGUCCGAUACCCAAGAGUUUCCAGACACAUACCCAAUGGCUCUUCGGCGGCUGAAAUGUUUGGAGAAAAAACUGCAGGGCAAUUCUUCAAUGAUGGAACGCGUGCGAGAACAAAUCAUCGAUUUCGAAACGAAGGGCUAUAUUCGCAAGGUCAGCGAAGCGGAGCAGUCCAAACUGGAUUACCGGAAAACCUGGUUUCUCCCCUUAGGAAUUGUCCUGAACCCAAAAAAGCCCGGAAAGUUGCGACUCAUUUGGGACGCGGCAGCAAAGGUCGGUGGAGUGUCGUUCAACACACAUUUGCUAAAGGGGCCAGAUUUGCUCACGCCUCUACCACGCGUCCUCAGUGGCUUCCGAUUGUUUCCUGUGGCAAUUUCAGGAGAUAUAAGGGAGAUGUUUCUGCAAAUAAGGCUGCAACCCGGGGACCGCAACGCUCAAAUGUUCCUGUUCCGCAACCAUCCUCAAGAUCCAGUGCAAACCUACGCAAUUGACGUCACCAUGUUCGGAUCGACCUGCUCUCCGUCGUCGGCACAAUAUGUCAAAAACGUGAAUGCUGAACAACAUGCUGAACACUAUCCACGGGCAGCGGCCGCCAUCAUAGAACACCAUUAUGUGGACGAUUACUUGGACAGCUUCCGGACUGUGGAAGAGGCCGUCCAAGUCGUAAAUGAUGUCAAGCUCGUUCACUCCAGAGGCGGAUUCGAAAUUCGCAAUUUCCUCUGCAAUAAGGGCGAAGUCCUGCGGCGAACUGGGGAGAUCGAACCAGAUUCGUCCAAGGAAUUCGCCCUCGUACGAGCAGAAACAACCGAAUCAGUGUUAGGAAUGAAAUGGCUCCCAGAAGAUGAUGUUUUCACUUACACAUUUGCUAUGCGUAACGAUUUGAAACCGAUUCUCGCUGAUAAGCACAUCCCAACGAAGCGGGAGGUUCUCAAGGUGAUCAUGAGCCUGUUCGACCCUCUGGGCUUCAUAGCGUAUUUUCUUGUGCACGGCAAGGUGUUGAUGCAAGAUAUUUGGGCGUCGGGCAUCGACUGGGACGACGAAAUUGGCGAGGAGCUUCUUCUCCGUUGGCAGCAGUGGACGAGUUACUUUCCGCAGUUGGAUAGCUUACGCAUUCCGCGAUGCUACUUCCAAUCCCCGUUUCCUACAAACUUUGAUCGGCUAGAACUCCACGUAUUAGUCGACGCCAGCGAUUCUGCCUACGCGUGUGUCGCGUAUUAUCGAUUGGAGACAGAAAGUGGCGUGCAAGUGGCGCUGAUCGGUGCCAAAACCAAAGUGGCCCCGUUAAAAGUAUUGUCGAUCCCCCGUCUGGAAUUAAAGGCCGCCAUUCUAGGAGUUCGCAUGCUGGAAACUGUCCAAGGCUAUCACACCUACCCUAUUAGCCGAAGGAUUCUCUGGAGUGACUCCAGUACCGUACUUGCCUGGAUACGAUCUGAGCAUCGUCGGUACAACAAAUUCGUCGCUGUGCGAAUCGGCGAAAUCCUCACGGCGACCAACGCUCAGGAGUGGAGAUGGGUCCCUUCCGGGAUGAACACCGCUGACAUUGCCACUAAGUGGAAAGGUGGUCCAGAUUUUUCCCAUAAUAGCCCGUGGUUCCGGGGUCCUGCAUUCCUAAGUCGGUCCGACGAGCACUGGCCACAGCAAACAACGAUCCAUACGACACAUGAAGAGCUUCGAGUCAACCACGUCCAUUCUUCAACAUCCCCGUUAAUCGAUGCAACACGGUUCAGUCAAUGGACCAAGAUUCACCGCACUACGGCGUACGUCAUCCGAUUUGUUCAAAAUCUACGGCGAAAAUGUGAAGGUUCAACAUUGCAGUUAGGAGUUCUGCAGCAAGAGGAGCUGAAGUGUGCAGAGGAGGUGCUGUGGAAGGUAGCACAAGCGGAUGCCUUUCCGGAAGAAAUUGCUGCCCUUUCAAACGCUCAAGAAUAUCCAAAUGCGCGUCAUAGACGCGUUCCGAAAUCCAGUCCUAUAUAUAAGAACUGGCCAUUUCUAGACGAGCGAGGAGUGCUCCGGAUGCGCGGAAGAAUCGGGGCCGCAGCCUUCAUCCCAACCGAAACUAAGUUUCCAGCGAUCCUUCCUAGGCAACACAUAAUCACGUUUCUUCUUACAGACUGGUACCACCGCCGAUUCCGCCACGCCAACCGGGAAACAGUCGCCAACGAAAUACGCCAACGUUUCGAAAUCGCCAAACUUCGAGCACUCAUUCAAAAGGUCAUGAAGGCCUGCAUGAUGUGUAAAGUGGCGAGAGCCACACCCAAUCCUCCAGCGAUGGCACCGCUUCCUGCCGCACGGCUGCAACCAUUCGUUCGUCCAUUCACGUUCGUCGGGCUGGACUAUUUCGGUCCAGUAUUGGUCAAGGUCGGCCGAAGCCAGGUAAAAAGAUGGGUUGCUCUUUUCACCUGCCUCACAAUCCGUGCUGUGCACUUGGAGGUAGUGCAUAGCCUGUCAACCGAGUCGUGUGUCAUGGCAGUCCGCCGCUUCAUCGCGAGACGUGGUACCCCGGCGGAAUUCUAUACAGACAAUGGUACAUGCUUCCAAGGGGCCAACAAAGAACUGGAAAAGGAGAAGUUGGACGCUCGAAACAAUGCUCUAGCUGCUACAUUCACCACCACAACCACGAAAUGGCGCUUCAUUCCGCCGGCCGCUCCUCAUAUGGGGGGUGUUUGGGAGCGUCUUGUAAGGUCGGUCAAGGUAGCACUAGGAACGGUUGCGACGGCACCACGCACACCUGACGAUGAGGUUCUAGAAACUGCUCUGCUCGAAGCAGAAGCAUUGAUUAACGCUAGACCCCUAACCUACAUUCCUCUUGAAUCGGCGGAUAAGGAAGCUCUCACCCCGAAUCAUUUCCUGUUGGGAACCUCUAACGGUGAUAAGAUUGCCCCCUUUGGACCAGUGGACAAUCCAGCGGUACUACGUAGUGGCUGGCGGCUUGCUCAAUCGAUUACCCAAGAGUUUUGGGCAAGGUGGCUGAAGGAGUAUCUUCCUGUGAUUAGGCGCCAAGGAAAGUGGUUCGAGGAAAAACCAGAUAUAGCGGUAGAUGACCUAGUGUUGGUCGUGAGUGGAUCGGCAAGGGACCAGUGGGUGAGAGGACGUGUAGAAGCGGUGGUUCCCGGACGGGACGGAAGAGUUCGUCAAGCCUUCGUUCGGACUGCAUCAGGAGUUCUGCGGCGACCAGCAGUGAAGCUUGCGGUGCUCGACGUGCGAGAAAGUAGCGAACCUAUUGCAAGAGUUCCUGGGAACCGGAAGUCGGACCAAGGUUCACGGGAGGGGGGAUGUCGCGACGAGACCCCUCGUCAUCGAUCAACUGUGGCCGGUCAAUGCGAUGGUCACAACUGUGCCUGUCCGAACGGUCAGCAGCGUAAAGGGAGAGAGAAUAAAAACAAAACCGGGGAUAGGUAUAACGAUCAAAAACCGUGACCAAGCAACUUCGAAUGAAAAUUGAUAGUAGGCGCAAAUUUAUUUGGUUGAAUUUGAGAGGUUUCUCGUGAAAUUUAGUUCUAUUUCAUGCUUAAUUCUUAAAAGGUAGUUGAAUUCAAUAAGUGAAGUCUAGCAUUGAAAUGUGUGAUACAUGCAGAUACGUAGUUUCUUAAUCUAAUAGUACGGACUAUAUACAAAUAUCUAAGCUGAAGCAUAUAUUGGAUUCUGAACGGUGCUGAUAAACUAUAAAUAUUGUAAGUAAUUGAACUUGUUAAUCAUUAUCAGUUAACCUUAACAAUUCGUACAUUCAGACAGUAAUCCCCAUAUCUAAGACCUAUCGAGGCGUGGUAUGAUCCUUGAUGUCGAAGGUCACCAAAAUUGUGAGUAGGCAAUGUAUAUUAAAAUUAAGAUGGAAACAAUAAUUAAAAUACAUUUACAGCUAAAAGCUUACCAUCACUAAAUCC
Aedes albopictus (Asian tiger mosquito) is the source of this 7533-nucleotide RNA transcript. RefSeq lists it as uncharacterized. The record is from RefSeq and is a predicted model, not a curated record. The transcript has 3 exons. NCBI's taxonomy places the organism in Eukaryota, Metazoa, Arthropoda, Insecta, Diptera, Culicidae.